This 413-nucleotide long non-coding RNA is filed under the name Lathyrus oleraceus (garden pea). RNAcentral's name for it is "Pisum sativum (pea) long non-coding RNA (PSAT_LNC017443)". Lineage: Eukaryota; Viridiplantae; Streptophyta; Magnoliopsida; Fabales; Fabaceae. The record is from RNAcentral.
AAAAAUAACCUAAUUGAAUUAAAAUCUCAAAUAAAUCUCAAAUCAAUUUAAAAAUUGACGAGAAUAUUUUUCAUAGAUUCAUCCUCAUUCAAAUAGGCUAGGAAAAUAUUGUUUGCAUUUUUUGAAUAUCAAAACUAUUUAAAAUGAAUUAAAAAUAACCAGAAAAGAGAAAAUUCACAAAAAAUAUCAAAUGACAAAAUAAAAAAUAUUAAAAAUAAAAAAUAAUAACUAAAAAUUAUUUGGGAAAUAAUGCAAUUGGUCCCAUAAUUUUUGGAUAAAAAAUGAAAGAGAUAUUAAUUUUUGAAAUAAAAAGGAAUUUAAGAAAAUAAAAUGGAAUUAAAACAGAAAAUAAAAAAAAGGAAAAAACGAGAGCCCUUAGAUCUGAGCUCAUUAAUUGAGCUGGCAGAUCCAAG